CAUCAGCAAUCUUAAUAGGCUAUGUUCGCAAUAUCCAUCAAGUGACACACGGCACGGGACUACUGUACGCGCCGCACGCGCUAAAGAGAUCCGUGACUCUGACGAACUGUUCACCAGCAGCAGGAGGAGAGGGAUGAGGGCAGCAUGGAUUACUCCCUCUCCACUGGGUUAAGAUGCUUACCAACUAAUUACCUUUCCAUCUGAAAAUCCCCGGCCACGCAGCCCCAACAGACAGAGUGCUAGGAGAGAUGAAGAGAUAGAGGGACGGGGAGGCCGGUGGUGGAGAGAGGAGAGGAUGGGUGUUUGGGUUUCUUUUUUCAUUUCAGGAUGAGGAUGCUGUCCUUUGGGUGAUGUGGCCUUCGAUCAGGUCUAUUGACGAUUUCUUCCAGAAGCGGGAAGAGGAGCUCUGGGACCCAUUUGGAGCAUCUCAGAAAUCACUUAGUGCAUCAUUCCACACAGCUGUGAUCAAUCUUCGAGCUGGGUAGUGGGUCUGCAUGGCACAGAGAUGAAUGUCUGCCCCUCUCUCCGUGUCCCGAUAACGGAUGUUUGUUCUAACCUGUUUGUUCUAGCCAGCUGAACAGAAGGCAUGUGCAACGCAGCCCAUAAGGACAUGGAUAUAAGAAACUUGUUGCUGAUUUGAAGAUUUGAAGUAGUAGAAUUGAAUACAUGGCUAAUGCUGUGUUGGACGACAUGUUGGGACACAUUCUUUUAGAACACAUAGAGCAUAAUUCUUCUCUGUGUAGUGUGGAGUAAGGUCUGGUGUUUGAGAGAGUGCUUUAGUCAUGCAUUUCAUACAAGCUCUGCCUCCGUUCAUUCCCCUUUUGUGGAUCAGAGACAAGGUAGAAGAUGUAAGCAAUAACUUGACUUGAGUUUCUAUCAUAUUUCUCUGACCUAUCCAAGUUCACAGGGGCGGGCGGCCUGUCCAUCUGGCAUUUUGGGCAAAUGCCAGAUGGGCUGGUCCAUUUUUAGCCCAGUAGGACUGUCUAACUUGUGCCCCUCAAGGUACAAAAUGGGCUGGUAUGGGGGCCUCAAAGAAAAAACAGAGUGGCUGCGGUUCUGGAUUUUCUGUAACCCGACAUGCUGUUGCUGAAAAUACGGAGAUUUCUGCAUAUGCGGGAUCCACGAGCCUACCUCCUUUCAGCUGCUGCUCAGUAAUAAUGGGAAGUUCUUACCGACUCAGAUCUUUUUGACUCAGUCAAAAGAAUGAAUCAAGCUCAUUCCAUUCAUUUGAUUCAGUAAUGCCCAGAGCAUGCAGGACCCCUACAGGCAAAUGAUGAACUAAAAGCUCGAAGGAAUCAUGAUUGCACAAGUCUCUCAUUCACCAUAGGAGGCUUAUUGGAGCUGCCAUUUGUGACUGAAACGUAUAAAACUGUGCUUCAAACAAUGUACAUUUGUGAUUGCUAGGCAUACAAAUAAGAUUAUUUAUUGAUACAUUUGAAACAAGAUCUUGUUGCGGCCGCAACCGGACUAGAUUGUGUGAACGAUUCUUGGCGGAAUGCUUGACUGCCGCGAGGGAGAUCAGCAAAAUAUUGUUUACGAACUGCAGCAGCCCACCAAAACGAUUUGUUCCAGUGUUAGGCAGAGUCAGGCUGUGUAUGUUUUGAUUCUACAAAGCUGUGUCCAUCGAUAACAUUCAAUAAUCAAUUCAUUGCAUUAAUUGUCGCACCAUGCGAUCACCUAUCAGUUCUAAACAUGUAUUUCCCUUUCUGCUGCCUGCAUUUUUCUGUGAACACAUGAUAGACAGUUGGUAGGCGCGUAUUAAUCCUACUUUAGAAUUUUUUUGCGGCCAGCAGGUCAAAAGAACGACUAAAAUGAACGAGUCACUCGGAAAAGCG
Molecule: long non-coding RNA, 1835 nt
Filed under: Salmo salar (Atlantic salmon)
Lineage: Eukaryota; Metazoa; Chordata; Actinopteri; Salmoniformes; Salmonidae
Description: lncRNA (ENSSSAG00000083380.1)
Source: RNAcentral